RNAcentral lists this small RNA (89 nucleotides) under Marmota monax (woodchuck). Lineage: Eukaryota; Metazoa; Chordata; Mammalia; Rodentia; Sciuridae. The record is from RNAcentral.
GCCAGGCGCUGUGGCCCAUGCCUGUCAUCCCAGCGGCUUGGGAGGCUGAGGCAGGAGGAUGGCAAGGUGGAGGCCAGCCUCUGCCACUU